Molecule: long non-coding RNA, 357 nt
Organism: Strongylocentrotus purpuratus (purple sea urchin)
Lineage: Eukaryota; Metazoa; Echinodermata; Echinoidea; Camarodonta; Strongylocentrotidae
Exons: 3
Source: RefSeq, a predicted model, not a curated record
GCAAAACUUGGAAGACUGCCCCCUGAUCGACCAAAGUAAGAUGCCACUCAAUGUGACAGAUUGCGCGCGGGAGAACGGGAUGAGUAAGCUAUGCCUCGCGUUCGGUACGGGAAGAGGGCUGGCGCCUAGAGGACUCAUCGCUUGCUUCUCCAGAUACAAAGACAUGAUCGACACAUGUCGGAAUGAUACGUCAUCGUUCCAAGGGCAGCUAAUCGACGUAAAGACCAUGAUGCAAUGUCGUUUUCGUCCGUCUUUUGCCAAGGUCACCACGCCCAAGAGAUUUUCAUUUUUCUUCUAACACCCGACGCUGAUCGGCAAUCAAAGAGACAUUAGAAAGACGAGCGCAAAGACUUUCGA